RNAcentral lists this long non-coding RNA (226 nucleotides) under Rattus norvegicus (Norway rat). RNAcentral describes it as "long non-coding RNA NONRATT010885". The record is from RNAcentral. Lineage: Eukaryota; Metazoa; Chordata; Mammalia; Rodentia; Muridae.
AUACAGAAGGACCAGGCUGUGUAUCUGGUCAAAGAAGGUGUUCGUGGUACCUCUGACCAGAAGAGAAACAGGUCAGGUGGCCUACAGUGGAAGGCAAGCAUGAGAGAACGAGAGGUACUGUGACCACAGCUAACUGAAGCAGUGACUAACUGGCCAUCCUGGGAUUGGGCCAGGCCAGAGCUGGAUCCUGACAGAGAGUGAAUAAAAUGGUGUUUCUUGCCUCCCA